AAUAGAUACCCGGGUAGGUCCACGCCGUAAACGAUGAGUGCUAAGUGUUGGGGGGGUUUCCGCCUCUCAGUGCUGCAGCUAACGCAUUAAGCACUCCGCCUGGGGAGUACGGUCGCAAGACUGAAACUCAAAGGAAUUGACGGGGGCCCGCACAAGCGGUGGAGCAUGUGGUUUAAUUCGAAGCAACGCGAAGAACCUUACCAGGUCUUGACAUCCCGGUGACCACUAUGGAGACAUAGUUUCCCCUUCGGGGGCAACGGUGACAGGUGGUGCAUGGUUGUCGUCAGCUCGUGUCGUGAGAUGUUGGGUUAAGUCCCGCAACGAGCGCAACCCUUAUUCUUAGUUGCCAUCAUUCAGUUGGGCACUCUAAGGAGACUGCCGGUGAUAAACCGGAGGAAGGUGGGGAUGACGUCAAAUCAUCAUGCCCCUUAUGACCUGGGCUACACACGUGCUACAAUGGACGGUACAAACGGUUGCCAACCCGCGAGGGGAGCUAAUCCGAUAAAACCGUUCUCAGUUCGGAUUGUAGGCUGCAACUCGCCUAC
RNAcentral lists this ribosomal RNA (545 nucleotides) under uncultured bacterium. Its description in RNAcentral is "bacterial SSU rRNA". It matches the Rfam family "Bacterial small subunit ribosomal RNA", at positions 777 to 1319 of the family's 1533-position model. The record is from RNAcentral.